GGGAAUAUUGCACAAUGGGGGAAACCCUGAUGCAGCGACGCCGCGUGAGCGAAGAAGUAUUUCGGUAUGUAAAGCUCUAUCAGCAGGGAAGAAAAUGACGGUACCUGACUAAGAAGCUCCGGCUAAAUACGUGCCAGCAGCCGCGGUAAUACGUAUGGAGCAAGCGUUAUCCGGAUUUACUGGGUGUAAAGGGAGCGCAGGCGGCAUGGCAAGUCUGGUGUGAAAGGCCGGGGCUCAACCCCGGGACUGCAUUGGAAACUGCCAGGCUGGAGUGCCGGAGAGGUAAGCGGAAUUCCUAGUGUAGCGGUGAAAUGCGUAGAUAUUAGGAGGAACACCAGUGGCGAAGGCGGCUUACUGGACGGCAACUGACGCUGAGGCUCGAAAGCGUGGGGAGCAAACAG
This 401-nucleotide ribosomal RNA is filed under the name uncultured bacterium. RNAcentral describes it as "bacterial SSU rRNA". It matches the Rfam family "Bacterial small subunit ribosomal RNA", at positions 357 to 775 of the family's 1533-position model. The record is from RNAcentral.